GUCCACGCAGUAAACGAUGAUAGCUCGUUGUCGGCGAUACACAGUCGGUGACUUAGAGAAAUCGAUAAGCUAUCCACCUGGGGAGUACGUUCGCAAGAAUGAAACUCAAAGGAAUUGACGGGGGCCCGCACAAGCGGAGGAACAUGUGGUUUAAUUCGAUGAUACGCGAGGAACCUUACCCGGGCUUGAAAGUUAGUGACGGACUUGGAAACAGGUCUUCCCUUCGGGGCACGAAACUAGGUGCUGCAUGGUUGUCGU
This 258-nucleotide ribosomal RNA is filed under the name uncultured bacterium. Its description in RNAcentral is "partial 16S ribosomal RNA". It matches the Rfam family "Bacterial small subunit ribosomal RNA", at positions 793 to 1055 of the family's 1533-position model. The record is from RNAcentral.